Long non-coding RNA from Bombus huntii, 774 nucleotides. RefSeq lists it as uncharacterized. NCBI's taxonomy places the organism in Eukaryota, Metazoa, Arthropoda, Insecta, Hymenoptera, Apidae. The record is from RefSeq and is a predicted model, not a curated record. The transcript is spliced from 2 exons.
GGAUACUUAAGGGGAUACACAACGGCCUCCUUAACAGCGGUUUUACAUUCCUCUAGGCCUAUAACGUCAUCCCAAUGUACAUUUAAUUUGUUUACUAUGAUCUCCUGUGACGAUACAAAGAUAAAAUGGCGUCUUCUCUAUAUUAACAGCGGCCGUGCAGUGACUUACAAAAGUUCCGAACGGUUCCAUCCUGGGCGGACGGUUAAUUGCGUUCGGUACUUCGAGGCAGGAAGGUGAGUACAGAAUCGCUCCUCUUAGUACUCUUAUUAGAAGUGUUAUCAUCGAAUAUAAGUUUUUUCAAUAAAUUCUUAUCGUUUUACAAUCUUUCUAGAAUACAAUGACGUCAGCAAUCGAUCAUUUUCGCGAAUUUAUUGUAAAAUAAUUGGGGGAAUAUCUGGAGUUCUUUAUCGGUUUCGACUGUAAAAUCAGCAACUAUUCGAAUUUUUCAUUCAUAAUUGUGACAUUUUCGACUCUUCCGUUGCCAAGACUCUCUUGAGAGAUUUUUGGCACGUUCCAUCACCCUUGUUAAACGAGUGCACAUUGGUGGAUAUAUUGAUUUUAAAAACCAAUACGUGUACGAGAUUUAUUAUCUCACUGGGACAAAGAAAUCCGUUUUAUUCGCGAAUUUUCCGUGUUUCUUCUUAAUUUUCGUGAGUGUCUGGCGCGGAGCAUUAUUUGAAUGAACUUUUCAUCGUUCAGAUUAUAUUUCGUUUAAAAAGAUUGAAAUUGAUGUCGAGAAGAAAUGAAACAAGGUGCUCGGGCAUUCUUUCGUUU